ACUCGAGUUUAGAUUGGGAAU
This 21-nucleotide microRNA is filed under the name Marchantia polymorpha subsp. ruderalis. Lineage: Eukaryota; Viridiplantae; Streptophyta; Marchantiopsida; Marchantiales; Marchantiaceae. The record is from RNAcentral.